This 429-nucleotide ribosomal RNA is filed under the name Bacillota bacterium. RNAcentral describes it as "Firmicutes bacterium partial 16S ribosomal RNA". It matches the Rfam family "Bacterial small subunit ribosomal RNA", at positions 355 to 776 of the family's 1533-position model. Lineage: Bacteria; Bacillati; Bacillota. The record is from RNAcentral.
UCGGGAAUUUUGCACAAUGGCCGAAAGGCUGAUGCAGCAACGCCGCGUGAGCGAAGAAGGCCUUCGGGUUGUAAAGCUCUGUUGCCUGCGAAGAAGGGCCCUGUCAGGAAAUGGGCGGGGUUUGACGGUAGCAGGCGAGGAAGCCCCGGCAAACUACGUGCCAGCAGCCGCGGUAAUACGUAGGGGGCGAGCGUUGUCCGGAACUAUUGGGCGUAAAGCGCGCGCAGGCGGUCCCUUGAGUCUGGUGUGAAAGCCCACGGCUUAACCGUGGAGGGUAAUUGGAGACUGGGGGACUUGAGUGCAGAAGAGGAGGGCGGAAUGCCACGUGUAGCGGUGAAAUGCGUAGAGAUGUGGAGGAACACCAGUGGCGAAGGCGGCCCUCUGGUCUGUAACUGACGCUGAGGCGAGAAAGCGUGGUGAGCAAACAGG